RNAcentral lists this ribosomal RNA (189 nucleotides) under Bacillus sp. enrichment culture DGGE gel band Bjl-1h-2. RNAcentral's name for it is "partial 16S ribosomal RNA". It matches the Rfam family "Bacterial small subunit ribosomal RNA", at positions 343 to 524 of the family's 1533-position model. The record is from RNAcentral. Lineage: Bacteria; Bacillati; Bacillota; Bacilli; Caryophanales; Bacillaceae.
GGGAGGCAGCAGUAGGGAAUCUUCCGCAAUGGGCGAAAGCCUGACGGAGCAAUGCCGCGUGAGUGAUGAAGGUUUUCGGAUCGUAAAGCUCUGUUGCCAGGGAAGAACGUCCGGUAGAGUAACUGCUACCGGAGUGACGGUACCUGAGAAGAAAGCCCCGGCUAACUACGUGCCAGCAGCCGCGGUAAU